RNAcentral lists this transfer RNA (73 nucleotides) under Candidatus Marsarchaeota G1 archaeon OSP_B. RNAcentral describes it as "tRNA-Ala". It matches the Rfam family "tRNA". Rfam says of the family: Transfer RNA (tRNA) molecules are approximately 80 nucleotides in length. Their secondary structure includes four short double-helical elements and three loops (D, anti-codon, and T loops). The record is from RNAcentral. RNAcentral also lists the same sequence under 5 other names. Lineage: Archaea; Thermoproteati; Thermoproteota.
GGGCUGGUAGCUCAGUUGGCAGAGCGUCCGCCUUGCACGCGGAAGGUCGCGGGUUCAAAUCCCGCCCAGUCCA